UCUGGCGACCGCGCACGGUGAGUAACACGUAUCAACCUAGCCGAUAACUCGGGGAUAGCCUUUCGAAGAAAGAUUAAUACCCGAUGGCAUAAUUAGACCGCAUGGUCUUAUUAUUAAAGAAUUUCGGUUAUCGAUGGGGAUGCGUUCCAUUAGGCAGUUGGUGAGGUAACGGCUCACCAAACCUUCGAUGGAUAGGGGUUCUGAGAGGAAGGUCCCCCACAUUGGAACUGAGACACGGUCCAA
RNAcentral lists this ribosomal RNA (243 nucleotides) under uncultured bacterium. RNAcentral describes it as "partial 16S ribosomal RNA". It matches the Rfam family "Bacterial small subunit ribosomal RNA", at positions 105 to 334 of the family's 1533-position model. The record is from RNAcentral.